AGUUUAUUCUUGUGGGCUUGGGUGUAGCAGCACUCUUCAUCAUUGUUGUAACGUUCAUCAGAUGGAAGAGAACUAAAGAAAACAAUCCACAGAUGAGUAAAAACACAGUUGAGCCUGAAACUGCUGUUAACUAUGCCACCAUCAGCUUCACAAAGAAAACUGCCAGUAAAGCCCAGGUUCUGGGUAGAAAUGAUAAUGAAGAAGAUGACAAAGUGACCUACAGCAUCGUGAAGGCUCCCUCCUCUUCUUCUGUGGGAGACCCCAGUGAUCUCUAUGCUAAGAUCAAGUAAUGAAGGAAAUGAGAAAAAUAUC
Molecule: long non-coding RNA, 312 nt
Organism: Oreochromis niloticus (Nile tilapia)
Lineage: Eukaryota; Metazoa; Chordata; Actinopteri; Cichliformes; Cichlidae
Exons: 4
Source: RefSeq, a predicted model, not a curated record